GCUGCGGGUUCUCGUACUCUUUCCAAGUGUGAUAAGCUUGCUAAAGAAGACUUCAACCUUUGUGCGUGUGUGACUGCAACUAUCGAUUUAAGUGAUCACCAGCUGCUUGUUGCCCUCCUGAGUGGACAAAGUCUACCUACAGAACCACUUGCAAGCCCUGGGAUUCAGCUUUGUCCCGCUGUUUCCAAAUUUGAGGUGCUCAAAUAUUGACUCCGAGGACCUUCCAUGCCAGAACCACCCAAGGUGAGAAACCUGGAAGUGAACCUGAAGAGGCGAAGCUGCAGAACGCCAGCAAACAGAUCGUGCAGAAUGCCAUCCUGCGCGCUGUGCAGCAGGUCUCCCAGGAGAGUCGGCGGAGGGAAGCCAGAGCCAGCGGCACCCAGGGCAGCCCCCAGCGGGGCGUGGGGGAGUUAACCAAGAAGCAUGAGAAGAAGUAACACCGUGGAUUCGGCCCUUGUCACACUGCUUGGUCUUCAGCCUUCCUCUUAGUAUAGGAUGUGUCGCCAAAAUGUUGCCAGUAAAGCAAACCAAAGUGUCAUAGGCACCUAGCAGUAGGAUGAACUUGCACGAGCCCCUCGUUGGGAUGCACUGUUCUGACAAAAGUGCAUUAGACGAUUCUGUUUAAACACAGUGCCUCGGAAACAUAGUCGGGCCAAACACGACACUGUAAUUGCAAAAGUAGUUUUGCAGCACAAUUCCUUUUUAAAAUCUUUUUUUUUUAAAUGAUUCUGUCUUGUUUAUUUAAUUUUGCCUUUUGUGCAUUUUUUCUGUGAAUUUAACCAGCAGUCCUUUUUUGCUGAAACAUUGAGUGCAGUACUGAGAUCUGUAUAAUAUUUUAUAAAGACAUGCUGGAAGGGUGAAGGAAUAUUGUUUGAGUGCCCCUCAAAUAUGGAAUUGAAGGUUUUAAUAAAGUGGGUUCAGGUCCAAGAUCAAAUUAAGCAAAAAGCAAAUCCUAAGACCAAGUCCCUCAGGAUCUUAACAAGGUGUGUAUUUAUAUUACUUUUUUAAAAAGGAGGAAUUUCGCUUUUCCUGUAUUCAGUCUGAAAUCUCUCAGUUGUUUGAUACUCGGUAUUUACUCUCUGUGAAGAAAUCCUUUGGAAAUAUUACGGAUUACUUUUUCCAUCUGAAGAUGAAAAUAAGACAGGUACAUCUAUAUGCAUGAGUUGUCAAUGUUAGCAACCCCUUGAAGAGCAGCAAGAAUUGUAGGUUGCAUCCUGGAGAUACAGUAGUGCCUGAUGAUGGUAUAUGGUGCCUUUGGGAGGAGCUCUUGGAUCUUAUAAAUGCUGUGGGGCCUUCAGGCUAUGCAUCUGCACUAGUACCUUGCUAAUAGGAAAUUUCCUUGUCCCACCCACGAAUUACAUUUUUCUUGAGAUUAUGAAAAUCAUAUGUAUUGGGAAUGAAUGUUGCUUCAAAUGGGAAAAUCAUUCUCUCAACUUUCUGGAACAGCAAAAGACAGUGGGAACAGUCGAGCAACCGUGUUGUGAAUGCAGUUAUGGAAGCGUGUGUGUGAGUGAAUAAAGCCAUCUCCGCAGCAGAAUGACUUCUGCUUCACCCCCAUGGGGGUAACACAUAGUUUUCUAUGUCCUUAGCAUCCCAUUUCCUGGGCUUUGCAGCAGUUAUUGAGUUGGAGCUAUUGGGAACAGAGGGAGAAUUUGGCCUUUGUUAGAGAUCUUUUGGCUUCGGGGUGUCAGUGUCUACAUUUGAUAGUUUUUUUAAAAAGCAAAGUAUCAGCAUCUAAAGGGUGACAGAUAUGAAGAUCUGCUUCUAAAAUUCCAACAUGUUACACUUUCCAGAAGGGAUAUUAUUGAGAAAUGGAUGAACACAGUCUCUUAUUAGUUCUCUUAGACCAUCUCACACCAUGCACAGAUGGAAUAAGUUCACAGGGAGGAUGUCUGUGGGAGGGAGCAGAGGGGUAAACAUUUAAAUGUGGUUUAUUCAUAAUUUUCUCUGAAUAGUUCUCAUGACAAUUGAAGAAUGAGUUCAAGGUGACCUGAAGUCAUAUAACUGAGUAGAACUAUACCGCAUAGUUAAUAGGAAUAAAAUAUUAGGGGAAAUUAUUCAAGAGUAUACGCACACAGACACACACACACACACACACACACACACAAAUAAACCCACUGCUUGUAGUUUGCAAAUGAUCUGACACUCUGUCUGCUAGGAUAUCUGAGUAGAAUCAGCCUUGGACUUGGUUGUCAUAUGGCAGAAACACAUAAACACACUCUCUUUCCUCUCUGGUGUGUCUGUGUUAAUACCUUGGGGAUCUUUGAGAAUAUCUGAUUAACCUCUGUAUCUAAAUGUUGUUUAUAAAUAAAACAUAUC
Molecule: long non-coding RNA, 2319 nt
Filed under: Sus scrofa (pig)
Lineage: Eukaryota; Metazoa; Chordata; Mammalia; Artiodactyla; Suidae
Description: lncRNA (ENSSSCG00055013600.1)
Source: RNAcentral